AGGAGGCAUCUUCUUUCUGUGAAACAUCCUUUAGGGGAUGGGGCGCGGAUGGACCUGCGGUGCAUUAGUUAGUUGGCGGGGUAAAGGCCCACCAAGACGAUGAUGCAUAGCCGGCCUGAGAGGGCGGACGGCCACAUUGGGACUGAGACACGGCCCAGACUCCUGCGGGAGGCAGCAGUAGGGAAUUUUCGUCAAUGGGCGCAAGCCUGAACGAGCGAUGCCGCGUGAGUGAAGAAGGCCUUCGGGUCGUAAAGCUCUGUUGCGGGGGAAAAAAGGCAGCAUCAGGAAAUGGGUGCUGACUGAUGGUGCCCCGCCAGAAAGUCACGGCUAACUACGUGCCAGCAGCCGCGGUAAUACGUAGGUGGCGAGCGUUAUCCGGAAUGAUUGGGCGUAAAGGGUGCGCAGGCGGUCCUGCAAGUCUGGAGUGAAACGCAUGAGCUCAACUCAUGCAUGGCUUUGGAAACUGGAGGACUGGAGAGCAGGAGAGGGCGGUGGAACUCCAUGUGUAGCGGUAAAAUGCGUAGAUAUAUGGAAGAACACCAGUGGCGAAGGCGGCCGCCUGGCCUGUUGCUGACGCUGAGGCACGAAAGCGUGGGGAGCAAAUAGGAUUAGAUACCCUAGUAGUCCACGCCGUAAACGAUGAGGACCAAGUGUUGGGG
Molecule: ribosomal RNA, 659 nt
Filed under: uncultured bacterium
Lineage: Bacteria
Description: bacterial SSU rRNA
Rfam family: Bacterial small subunit ribosomal RNA
Source: RNAcentral